CGACUAAGCGUACACGGUGGAUGCCCUGGCAGUCAGAGGCGAUGAAGGACGUGCUAAUCUGCGAUAAGCGUCGGUAAGGUGAUAUGAACCGUUAUAACCGGCGAUUUCCGAAUGGGGAAACCCAGUGCAAUUCGUUGCACUAUCGUUAAGUGAAUACAUAGCUUAACGAAGCGAACCGGGGGAACUGAAACAUCUAAGUACCCCGAGGAAAAGAAAUCAACCGAGAUUCCCCCAGUAGCGGCGAGCGAACGGGGAGGAGCCCAG
Molecule: ribosomal RNA, 264 nt
Filed under: Klebsiella sp. RLT01
Lineage: Bacteria; Pseudomonadati; Pseudomonadota; Gammaproteobacteria; Enterobacterales; Enterobacteriaceae
Description: Raoultella sp. RLT01 partial 23S ribosomal RNA
Rfam family: Bacterial large subunit ribosomal RNA
Source: RNAcentral